RNAcentral lists this unclassified non-coding RNA (217 nucleotides) under uncultured Tomentella. Its description in RNAcentral is "sequence contains ITS2". Lineage: Eukaryota; Fungi; Basidiomycota; Agaricomycetes; Thelephorales; Thelephoraceae. The record is from RNAcentral.
ACACCUCAACUCUCAUGGUCUUCCGUGAUGAGCUUGGAUUUUGGGGGUUUGCUGGCCCUGUGGCCGGCUCCUCUCAAACGAAUCAGCUUGCCGGUGUUUGGUGGCAUCACGGGUGUGAUAACUAUCUACGCUCGCCGUUGUCUGCCAGGUAACCCUCAGCAAUGAAGGUUCAUUGGGGCUCAUAAACGUCUCUCCUCGGCGAGGACAACUUUUGAAC